AUUAUCCUUAUCAGAAGGACAAACAAAGAAUUCCAACAUAUACAAGACACACAACUGUACAGCAUCCAAAUCAUUUGUCCAGGAUUUGGAUGUCAAUACAUUUCUCAAAAGCGGUUUCUCUACCCGAGAUUUGUUAGGGAAGUAUUUAGUCAUUAAAUAGCUAACAUAACUAGAAUUGUAACCAUGGUCCGAUAAACUAUCAACACAGUUAAACCCAGUUAU
This 222-nucleotide long non-coding RNA is filed under the name Nicotiana benthamiana. RNAcentral's name for it is "long non-coding RNA (NBEN_LNC032201)". Lineage: Eukaryota; Viridiplantae; Streptophyta; Magnoliopsida; Solanales; Solanaceae. The record is from RNAcentral.